GACGAACGCUGGCGGCGUGCUUAACACAUGCAAGUCGAACGGAAAGGCCCUGCUUUUGUGGGGUGCUCGAGUGGCGAACGGGUGAGUAACACGUGAGUAACCUGCCCUUGACUUUGGGAUAACUUCAGGAAACUGGGGCUAAUACCGGAUAGGAGCUCCUGCUGCAUGGUGGGGGUUGGAAAGUUUCGGCGGUUGGGGAUGGACUCGCGGCUUAUCAGCUUGUUGGUGGGGUAGUGGCUUACCAAGGCUUUGACGGGUAGCCGGCCUGAGAGGGUGACCGGCCACAUUGGGACUGCGAUACGGCCCAGACUCCUACGGGAGGCAGCAGUGGGGAAUAUUGCACAAUGGGCGGAAGCCUGUUGCAGCAACGCCGCGUGCGGGAUGACGGCCUUCGGGUUGUAAACCGCUUUCGCCUGUGACGAAGCGUGAGUGACGGUAAUGGGUAAAGAAGCACCGGCUAACUACGUG
Molecule: ribosomal RNA, 468 nt
Filed under: uncultured bacterium
Lineage: Bacteria
Description: partial 16S ribosomal RNA
Rfam family: Bacterial small subunit ribosomal RNA
Source: RNAcentral